RNAcentral lists this long non-coding RNA (387 nucleotides) under Rhinolophus ferrumequinum (greater horseshoe bat). RNAcentral's name for it is "lncRNA (ENSRFEG00010021882.1)". Lineage: Eukaryota; Metazoa; Chordata; Mammalia; Chiroptera; Rhinolophidae. The record is from RNAcentral.
UUAAAAGAAAUUUUCUCUGACUUUGAUGCUAAAUACAGAGGAGCCUUUUGUGAAGCCAAGAUCAAGACAGCAAAAAGGCUUGUCAAAGUCAAGGUAACAUUUAGACAUGAUUCUUCAACGGUGGAAGUUCAGGAUGACCACAUAAAGGGCCCAUUAAAGGUUGGAGCUAUUGUGGAAGUGAAGAAUCUUGAUGGUGCAUAUCAGGAAGCUGUUAUCAAUAAAUUAACAGAUGCGAGUUGGUACACUGUAGUUUUUGAUGAUGGAGAUGAGAAGACACUGAGACGAUCUUCACUGUGCCUAAAGGGAGAGAGGCAUUUUGCUGAAAGUGAAAGGGGCGACACUUUAAUACUUGUUAAACCAUUAGACUUUGUGGGUUUUUUGUUUUGA